RNAcentral lists this ribosomal RNA (436 nucleotides) under Hemithyrsocera banvaneuensis. RNAcentral describes it as "partial 16S ribosomal RNA". Lineage: Eukaryota; Metazoa; Arthropoda; Insecta; Blattodea; Blattellidae. The record is from RNAcentral.
CUUUUCUUGUUUAUAAGUAGGAAAUAUAACCUGCCCACUGAAGAAUUUAAAGGGCCGCGGUAAUUUGACCGUGCAAAGGUAGCAUAAUCAUUAGUUUUUUAAUUGGAGGCUGGAAUGAAUGGUUGGACGAAAUAUAUACUGUCUUAAUUUAAAUUAUUGAAUUUAAUUAUUAGGUAAAAAAGCUUAAAUAAAUUUAUGGGACGAGAAGACCCUAUAGAAUUUAAUAAAUUAUAUUGUUUAUUAUUUGUGUUAAUUUGAUUACAAAUUUUAUUUAUUUUGUUGGGAUGAUGGAAAGAUAAAUUAAACUCUUUUUUAUUUAUAAUUAUAUUGAUAUAUAUAUUUAAUAGAUCCAUUUUUAGUGAUUUAAAGAUUAAAUUACCUUAGGGAUAACAGCGUAAUUCUUUUUGAGAGUUCAUAUCGACAGAAGAGAUUGCGA